UGCGCGCCGAUUUACUGUCCGGUGUCCGCAUCUGAAACAACCACACGUCUCUCUGUGUAUUUGUGUUUGUGGAAUUCUUGGUGUGAAAUCCUCGUUCCACAAGAGUGGUGGGUUGUUUUUGUCCCCCAAUCACUUGCAUGUGGCUCCCAACUUCUCCUAAUAUUGAAUUAAUUUUUUUUCUUUAGUUUCAAGACUCUAUCACAUCGCAGACCUUCUCCCCCAAUUCCUUCCCUUUUCUGCAGUUUUUUCCUUCUCCCAACAGGAAAAAAGCGGGCAGCUUUUCAUGGGAAAUUUCCACUUACUCUUUUUCUGAUUUAAUUAUCUGGGUGAGGCUAAAUUUGUUGAUUGGAUUCAUUUGUGCUCUUUUUACUUUGUUCUGUGCUGCUGAAAUCAUCAACGUUUGAAUGGGGGACGUAGCGAAGGACUUAACUGCUGGGACUAUUGGGGGGGCGGCACAAUUGAUUGUUGGGCACCCUUUUGACACCAUCAAGGUCAAGCUUCAGAGCCAGCCUGCUCCACAACCUGGCCAGCCUCCUAAAUAUGCAGGUGCAAUGGAUGCUGUCAGGCAGACUUUGGCUGCUGAAGGCCCAAGGGGUUUAUACAAGGGUAUGGGGGCUCCACUUGCUACUGUGGCAGUCUUCAAUGCUGUUCUUUUCACUGUGAGGGGACAAAUGGAGGCAUUGCUGAGAUCUCAACCUGGUGCUCCACUUACGGUUAGCCAGCAGAUUGUUUGUGGGGCUGGAGCUGGAGUUGCUGUUUCUUUUCUUGCUUGCCCUACCGAGUUGAUUAAGUGCAGGUUGCAAGCACAAAGUGCAUUAGCUGGUUCUGGUUCUGGUUCUGGUUCGGAAGCUGUGGCAGUGAAGUAUGGCGGGCCAAUGGGUGAUGUGGCCAGGCAUGUUCUCAAAUCUGAAGGUGGUGUGAGAGGUCUUUUCAAGGGCUUGGUACCCACUUUGGGACGUGAGGUUCCAGGAAAUGCUAUUAUGUUUGGUGUCUAUGAAUUACUGAAGCAAUCCUUGGCAGGAGGCCAGGAUACUUCUCAAUUGGGAAGGGGUUCUUUGAUGUUGGCUGGAGGCUUAGCUGGAGGAUCCUUUUGGCUAAUGGUAUACCCUACUGAUGUGAUCAAGAGUGUAAUUCAGGUAGAUGAUUGCAGAAAUCCAAAGUUCACUGGCUCCAUUGAUGCAUUCAGAAAGAUCCUGGCGUCAGAGGGUGUCAAAGGCUUGUACAGGGGUUUUGGCCCUGCUAUGGCUCGAAGUGUGCCUGCAAAUGCGGCAUGUUUCUUGGCGUAUGAAGUGGCAAGGUCUAGUUUGGGAUGAUUGAUUUUUUCAGGCAUUGGUUAUUGGCCAAAGAUUUUGGUUAAUCUUCAUCAUUGUUAUCAUAUUGCUCAUCUCAAAGUCCUCGUGUCAUUCAAUGAAAGCUUCUUGGAGUAAUUGUUAAGCAAUAUGAUAACAGCUUAUUUAUCAUAAAACAAACGGGCCUUUUAUCCUCCCAAUAUUGAUACGAUUCUUGUUUGGGUGAUGGAAGAAACACUUACCUCAACAGUAGUUGCAUUUGUUUUAUUUUUUUUCCC
This 1567-nucleotide unclassified non-coding RNA is filed under the name Hevea brasiliensis (rubber tree). Lineage: Eukaryota; Viridiplantae; Streptophyta; Magnoliopsida; Malpighiales; Euphorbiaceae. The record is from RNAcentral.